Molecule: ribosomal RNA, 408 nt
Filed under: uncultured bacterium
Lineage: Bacteria
Description: bacterial SSU rRNA
Rfam family: Bacterial small subunit ribosomal RNA
Source: RNAcentral
GGAAUAUUGCACAAUGGGCGAAAGCCUGAUGCAGCAACGCCGCGUGAGGGACGAAGGCCCUCGGGUCGUAAACCUCUUUUCUGAGAGACGAGACAGGACGGUACCUCAGGAAUAAGUCUCGGCUAACUACGUGCCAGCAGCCGCGGUAAAACGUAGGAGGCGAGCGUUAUCCGGAUUUACUGGGCGUAAAGCGCACGCAGGCGGCUUCGUGAGUCGGAUGUGAAAGCUCCUGGCUUAACUGGGAGAGGCCAUUCGAUACUGCGGGGCUUGAGGUUGGGAGAGGGGUGCGGAAUUCCCGGUGUAGUGGUGGAAUGCGUAGAUAUCGGGAGGAACACCAGUGGCGAAGGCGGCACCCUGGCCCACACCUGACGCUGAGGUGCGAAAGCGUGGGUAGCAAACAGGAUUAGA